This 253-nucleotide ribosomal RNA is filed under the name uncultured bacterium. Its description in RNAcentral is "partial 16S ribosomal RNA". It matches the Rfam family "Bacterial small subunit ribosomal RNA", at positions 524 to 776 of the family's 1533-position model. The record is from RNAcentral.
UACGUAGGGGGCAAGCGUUGUCCGGAUUUACUGGGUGUAAAGGGUGCUCAGGUGGCUUGGAAAGUCAGUGGUGAAAUCUGAGAGCUUAACUCUCAAACUGCCAUUGAUACUUCUUAGCUUGAGUACGGAAGAGGCUGAUGGAAUUUCAGGUGUAGCAGUGAAAUGCGUAGAUAUCUGAAAGAACACCAGUGGCGAAGGCGGUCAGCUGGUCCGUUACUGACACUAAAGCACGAAAGCGUGGGUAGCAAACAGG